GAUGAACGCUGGCGGCGUGCCUAAUACAUGCAAGUCGAGCGAACGGGCGAGAAGCUUGCUUCUCUGAUGUUAGCGGCGGACGGGUGAGUAACACGUGGAUAACCUACCUAUAAGACUGGGAUAACUUCGGGAAACCGGAGCUAAUACCGGAUGAUAUUUUGAACCGCAUAGUUCAAAAGUGAAAGACGGUCUUGCUGUCACUUAUAGAUGGAUCCGCGCUGCAUUAGCUAGUUGGUAAGGUAACGGCUUACCAAGGCAACGAUGCAUAGCCGACCUGAGAGGGUGAUCGGCCACACUGGAACUGAGACACGGUCCAGACUCCUACGGGAGGCAGCAGUAGGGAAUCUUCCGCAAUGGGCGAAAGCCUGACGGAGCAACGCCGCGUGAGUGAUGAAGGUCUUCGGAUCGUAAAACUCUGUUAUUAGGGAAGAACAUAUGUGUAAGUAACUGUGCACAUCUUGACGGUACCUAAUCAGAAAGCCACGGCUAACUACAUG
This 497-nucleotide ribosomal RNA is filed under the name uncultured bacterium. RNAcentral's name for it is "partial 16S ribosomal RNA". It matches the Rfam family "Bacterial small subunit ribosomal RNA", at positions 28 to 507 of the family's 1533-position model. The record is from RNAcentral.